RNAcentral lists this ribosomal RNA (490 nucleotides) under uncultured bacterium. RNAcentral's name for it is "partial 16S ribosomal RNA". It matches the Rfam family "Bacterial small subunit ribosomal RNA", at positions 28 to 506 of the family's 1533-position model. The record is from RNAcentral.
GAUGAACGCUAGCUACAGGCUUAACACAUGCAAGUCGCGGGGCAGCAUGGGGUUUGCUUGCAACCCCUGAUGGCAACGGGCGCCUGGGUGAUUACUGGGUACCCACCCUGCCCUCCACACCGGGUUAACCGGCCCAAAUCCGACUAAAUCCUUAAGGUUUUCAAUUACGGCCUUCCGUUUUGACGAAAGGCUUUGCGGUUAAAAGAUUGGGGAUGCGUCCGAUUAGGUUGCCGGCGGGGUAACGGCCCACCGGGGCUACGAUCGGUAGGGGUCCUGAGAGGAAGGUCCCCCACACUGGAACUGAGACACGGUCCAGACUCCUACGGGAGGCAGCAGUGAGGAAUAUUGGUCAAUGGGCGUAAGCCUGAACCAGCCAAGUAGCGUGCAGGAUGACGGCCCUAUGGGUUGUAAACUGCUUUUAUGCGGGGAUAAAGUGGCCCACGUGUGGGCUUUUGCAGGUACCGCAGGAAUAAGGACCGGCUAAUUCCGU